This 334-nucleotide unclassified non-coding RNA is filed under the name uncultured fungus. RNAcentral's name for it is "partial contains 5.8S ribosomal RNA and internal transcribed spacer 2". The stretch from base 1 to 133 matches the Rfam family "5.8S ribosomal RNA", at positions 22 to 154 of the family's 154-position model. Lineage: Eukaryota; Fungi. The record is from RNAcentral.
UGGUUCUGGCAUNGAUGAAGAACGCAGCGAAAUGCGAUAAGUAAUGUGAAUUGCAGAAUUCAGUGAAUCAUCGAAUCUUUGAACGCACAUUGCGCCCCUUGGCAAUCCGAGGGGCAUACCUGUCCGAGCGUCAUCGCAACCUCUCAAGCCUUCCCUGGCUUGGUGUUGAGCCGCGCGUCUCACCGGGACGGGCUCGAACGGCAGUGGCGGUCCGGCGCGCCUUCAAGUGCAGUACAUCCGUCGUUCGCUUGAGACGGCGCCGCCUGGGUCCGGCCAGAUCAACCCUCGUGCCAUCGUACCGUUUGACCUCGGAUCAGGUAGGAAUACCCGCUGA